RNAcentral lists this small RNA (550 nucleotides) under uncultured fungus. Its description in RNAcentral is "eukaryotic LSU rRNA". The stretch from base 137 to 291 matches the Rfam family "5.8S ribosomal RNA". Lineage: Eukaryota; Fungi. The record is from RNAcentral.
UGGCCGCCGGGGGGCUGGGGCUCGCGACUUGUGAGCGCCGCCCCCGGGCCCGUGCCCGCCGGAGACCUCCCUCGACAUGCUACUGUGGUCAGAAAUGCUGUCUGAGUGGGAAUGAUGUGAGAAAUUGAUCAGUCAAAACUUUCAACUAAUGGAUCUCUUGGUUCCGGCAUCGAUGAAGAACGCAGCGAAAUGCGAUAAGUAAUGCGAAUWGCAGAAUUCCGUGAGUCAUCGAAUCUUUGAACGCACAUUGCGCCCCCCGGCUUCCCGGGGGGCAUGCCUGUCCGAGCGUCAUUGCCAUCCCCUCAAGCUCCGCUUGGCUGGUUGGGCCGACGUCCACCCGUGGCUUUGUGCCGGGGGGGACGGGCCCGAAAGGCAGUGGCGGCUCCCGGAGGGUGGUCCCUUGGGGCGGUUGAUACAUGGGUUGUCAUCUUCCACCGCUCCGUUGGCCACGCUCCGGGGGUCCAGUCGUAACGAUUGGUCUUCCCCUUUAGGUUGACCUACGGAUCAGGUAGGGAUACCCGCUGAACUUAAGCAUAUCAAUAAGCGGAGG